RNAcentral lists this ribosomal RNA (593 nucleotides) under Bipolaris zeae. RNAcentral describes it as "eukaryotic LSU rRNA". The stretch from base 207 to 360 matches the Rfam family "5.8S ribosomal RNA". Lineage: Eukaryota; Fungi; Ascomycota; Dothideomycetes; Pleosporales; Pleosporaceae. The record is from RNAcentral.
UUCCGUUAGGGGGGACCUGCGGAGGGAUCAUUACACAACAAAAUAUGAAGGUCUGGCUUCGCGGCCGGCUGAAAUAUUUUUUUCACCCAUGUCUUUUGCGCACUUGUUGUUUCCUGGGCGGGUUCGCCCGCCACCAGGACCAAACCAUAAACCUUUUUUUUUAUGCAGUUGCAAUCAGCGUCAGUAAAAACAAUGUAAUUAAUUACAACUUUCAACAACGGAUCUCUUGGUUCUGGCAUCGAUGAAGAACGCAGCGAAAUGCGAUACGUAGUGUGAAUUGCAGAAUUCAGUGAAUCAUCGAAUCUUUGAACGCACAUUGCGCCCUUUGGUAUUCCAAAGGGCAUGCCUGUUCGAGCGUCAUUUGUACCUUCAAGCUUUGCUUGGUGUUGGGCGUUUUUGUCUCCCUCUUUCUGGGAGACUCGCCUUAAAACGAUUGGCAGCCGGCCUACUGGUUUCGGAGCGCAGCACAUAAUUUGCGCUUUGUAUCAGGAGAAAAGGACGGUAAUCCAUCAAGACUCUACAUUUUUAACUUUUGACCUCGGAUCAGGUAGGGAUACCCGCUGAACUUAAGCAUAUCAAAAACCCGGAGGAAA